This 904-nucleotide long non-coding RNA is filed under the name Pogona vitticeps (central bearded dragon). Its description in RNAcentral is "lncRNA (ENSPVIG00000023590.1)". The record is from RNAcentral. Lineage: Eukaryota; Metazoa; Chordata; Lepidosauria; Squamata; Agamidae.
GAGUCCUGGGGACUCUGGGGCUGAGGGGAACUCUCCCUCCCAUGCCUGGGUGGACUUCUCCGGGACCCCCGUUCCGGCGCCCGGAGCUCAGCCUUUGCCCUCUUCCGCGACCCCCGACCCGGGGGGGCGGUUCAGGCGCCCCUCCAACUCUUGACAAUCCCCCUCCCUCACCGGCUCGGGGUGUCCCUUCCCGCCAGCCGCCCCCUUCCCGUUCCCACGCCCCCUUGUUUGUAGCCCCUCUCGUCCCUUUCCCGUCUGCCUCUUUCCCUCGCCGUCCAUGGCCGUCCCUCAGAGACGUGGUCACCGUCUGGUCCGCAGUGUUUCCUCCUCGCCUCCGGUCAGGAGCUGACCCCCCCCCCAAUUUCCCCGCUCCCUCGUCCCUUUGACGACCCUGGUCUCCCCAUGGGUGCCUCGUCGGGCUCCCCUGGCUGUCAUGCCUUCUCCCACCACCCCCUUCCGGGCACUCCCACCCCCUGCUAUUCCGGGUCGUCCCCCCAACUCUGGCUUCCAUCUCCCAUUGUCUUUACCACCCCACUUCCAUCUCCUCACUUACCACGACAGCAACCCCUUUCUUUACCUCAGUCAGUGCUACCUCUCUUCCCACCAUCACGCCCCCCACCGUGGGUCGCACAGCACUCCCCGCUUAGUUUUUUUCUCCUAUUGUGUCCUGUGGCUCUCUUUAUCUCUUUGCUGUGUUAAUUUGGGGAUCCCAGCCUUACUCUGUCAGUCACUUCUGGAUUUGCUUGCCUCCCUCAUCCAGGAUCUUUCAUUAACUUCUCCUCUUCUGUCUUACACCCACCCCCUCAGGGAUUUCCCACUUCUUCCAUCCUAUAGAAAAGCCGUCUUUAAACUCAGUUCCCAAGAAGUAAAACCAAAUGUAAAGUUAUAUCUAGCUGGACUGUAG